Molecule: long non-coding RNA, 520 nt
Filed under: Homo sapiens (human)
Lineage: Eukaryota; Metazoa; Chordata; Mammalia; Primates; Hominidae
Description: non-protein coding lnc-CYBA-6:1
Source: RNAcentral
CAUCCAUCCAUCCAUCCACCCAGUCAAUUAUUCAUCCACCUAACUAUCCAUUCAUCCACCAUGUACUCAUUUAACCAUCCAUCCAUCCAUCCAUCCAUCCAUCCAUCCAUCCAAUUACCCAUCCAUCCAUUCACUCACGUGUCCACCCAUCCAUCCACCCAUCUUCCUGUCCAUCUACCCAUUCAUCCAUUCAUCCACCCAUCUACCUAUCCAUCCAUCUACCCAUCCAUUCAUCCAUCCAUCCACCCAUGUAUUCAUCCACUUGUCUACCUAUUGAUCCAUCCAUCAGUCUAUCCAUGCAUCUAUUCGUGCACCCAUCCACCCAUCCAUCCAUCCACCCACCAUCCACAGGCCUCAGUUUGUUCAGGAGAAUAGAAGGGAAGUAAAUUUAUGUUUCUGGCUGCUGGUAGAGGCCAUGCCAUUGAUCUCAAUCUUUCUGUGUGAAGGAUGAGGAAGACCCCAGGGCCUCCCCAAGGGCAUUUAGGUGGAAACUGUCAGGAUCGUGCUCCUCAGAGAGACU